AAGAACAAACCUAAGUUAUGGUGUUUAGAUAGUUAAGGAUGCCUUUUUCUUUUUCUAUUUUUAUUAUUUUAUUUUAUACUAUUUUAUUAUUUUAUUUUAUUUUAUUAUUAUUAUUUUUAUUUAUUUAUUUAUUUUUUUGUAAUUUAGAGUGAGAAAACACCUGGGUGCCAAAGGACCUUCCUCCCAGACUCCUUCGUAAGGAGCUCGGUUCACACCAUCUGUAUUGCAAUCCUCAAUGCUCCUGGAAUCUUCAACCCCGCUCUUCCCGAUAUAAAAUCUUAUGGUAGCAAGCGCCUAGCCCAAGACGCCACACCAGGCGCUUGAAAGCACUCAGGCCCAAGCACCCGCACCUGUGGGGCCUCCGGAAGCCAGCCCGAGAACGUGAACCGCGCAUGCUCCGGCCGCCAAUUUACAGCCUUCCACCAGCUUCCCGGGCUUCCGAGGAGGAUCUCUGGGCUGACUUCUACUUCUGCCAACGCCCGAGGUCCAAGGCUGCAGCACCCGAAACACGCCGUUACGUUGUGGGCUCGCUAUCCUGGACACUGCUAUCCUUUCGGACAUCGUUAAGGUCCAGUAUCUCAUCUUCCAUCUUCAUCCUGUUGAUGGCUCAUGCUGUCUGUUUCAUUUGAAGCAUAAUUGAAACCAGGACAAGAGACAUCAGAUUCUUUCCUUGACCCAUCACACGGACUCCUGCAAAGGUCUUUCUGUCUCCUGACUCUUCUGCCUUGUCCUUUAAAGUUGGCAAAUGGUUUACAGGUGAGACAUGGUUUACUUUACUAUGCUAGCUUGCUUGUUAGGGGACCAACUUUAUUACUAUCUCAGGGCACUCUCAAUAGGGGGGUGUAGCUCAUUUGGAAUUUCAGUUCUGUGAGUAAAACAUGGUAAGAGCUACUGGGUUGGUGGCACAGAGGGGGUCCAAGAAGGAUUGAAUAGUCACUGCAAAUGGGAAGAGAAUACCAGAUGCCCGUGGGGUGAGAUCAAAGAAGGAAGCGUGUACCCAGACUAUAACUUUAAG
Molecule: long non-coding RNA, 1015 nt
Filed under: Felis catus (domestic cat)
Lineage: Eukaryota; Metazoa; Chordata; Mammalia; Carnivora; Felidae
Description: lncRNA (ENSFCAG00000040189.2)
Source: RNAcentral